RNAcentral lists this long non-coding RNA (966 nucleotides) under Phasianus colchicus (ring-necked pheasant). RNAcentral describes it as "lncRNA (ENSPCLG00000017051.1)". Lineage: Eukaryota; Metazoa; Chordata; Aves; Galliformes; Phasianidae. The record is from RNAcentral.
AGAAGGACCCCAGCCUGGAGAUCCGCUACCGGCACAAGAAGAGCCGUGAGAAGGAACACGAGGGCUGCAAGGGGCCGGACAUGGAGCCGGGCCGCGCCGCCAAGGUCAGCGCCACCCUACUGCCACCCUACUGCCACCCUACUGCCACCCCGUGCCACCCUGUGCCACCCUAUGCCACCCCAUGUCAUCCUAUGGCACCCCCAUGCCACCCCAUGGCACCCUGCGUCACCCCAUGCCACCCCAUGUCACCCCAUGCCACCCUGUGUUUCCCUUAUGCCACCCCCAUGCCACCCCAUGGCACCCCAUGUCAUCCUAUGGCACCCCAUGCCACCCUGUGGCACCCCAUGCCACCCCCAUGCCACCCCAUGGCACCCCAUGCCAUCCUAUGGCAUCCCCAUGCCACCCCAUGCCACCCUGUGUCACCCCAUGCCACUCUGUGUCACCCUAUAGCACCCCCAUGCCACCCCAUGGCCCCCCCAUGUUACCACAUGGCACCCCAUGUCAUCUUAUGGCACCCUAUAGCACCCCAUGCCAUCCCCAUGCCACCCCAUGGCACCCCCAUGCCACCCCUAUGCCACUCCUAUGCCACCCCCGUGCCACCCUACUGCCACCCUACUGCCACCUCGUGCCACCCUGUGUCACCCUAUGGCACCCCCAUGCCACCCCAUGGCACCCCCAUGUUACCACAUGGCACCCCAUGUCAUCUUAUGGCACCCUAUNNNNNNNNNNNNCACCCCCAUGCCACCCCAUGUUACCCCAUGGCACCCUGUGCCACCCUGUGUCACCCCCAUGGCACCCCAUGCCACCUUGUGUCACCCUAUGGCACCUCAUGCCACCCCCAUGCCACACCAUGCCACCCCAUGUCAUCCUAUGGCACCCCCAUGCCACCCCAUGCCACCCUGUGUGACCCUGUGUCACCCCCAUGCCAUCCCCACGCCACCCAAUGUCACCCCAUGCCACCCCAUG